AAUGCGCGAAAGCGUGACGGAGCAAUGCCGCGUGCAGGAUGAAGCCCCUCGGGGUGUAAACUGCUGUCAGGGUUUAGAAACACAAUGAUCAGACCCAAAGGAAGAGCCGGCUAACUCUGUGCCAGCAGCCGCGGUAAUACAGAGGGCUCAAGCGUUAAUCGGUGUCACUGGGCUUAAAGGGUGCGUAGGCGGACCUGUAAGUGUUUUGUGAAAUCCCACGGCUCAACCGUGGAAUUGCUUGGCAUACUGCAGGUCUUGAGGUCGGUAGGGGCUGCCGGAACUCUAGGUGUAGCGGUGAAAUGCGUAGAUAUCUAGAGGAACGCCAAAGGUGAAGACAGGCAGCUGGGCCGAUCCUGACGCUGAGGCACGAAAGCGUGGGUAGCGAACGGGAUU
Molecule: ribosomal RNA, 393 nt
Filed under: uncultured Gammaproteobacteria bacterium
Lineage: Bacteria; Pseudomonadati; Pseudomonadota; Gammaproteobacteria
Description: bacterial SSU rRNA
Rfam family: Bacterial small subunit ribosomal RNA
Source: RNAcentral